UCCUAAAUAAUUCCUGACUUACAUGCAGCCUAGAGACAUAAAACCAUGCACUCAUACACCUCCUUGAGAAGUUCUUCAAGAAGUGCCAUUUGUGCUGUAAUUUCUUGUACAUCACAAAAGUCAAACAAAGGAAGGAUAAUGCUCAUGCUCAAAUUGUGUACUUCUGCUAUUGAAGGGUUGAAGUUCAGUAAAGAACAGUGUUAUUUGCUGUCAAUGUAACUUCUCUAAAAGCUAAAGAAAAAACAGGAAAGGGCAGAAGCGGU
Molecule: long non-coding RNA, 263 nt
Filed under: Eucalyptus grandis
Lineage: Eukaryota; Viridiplantae; Streptophyta; Magnoliopsida; Myrtales; Myrtaceae
Description: long non-coding RNA (EGRA_LNC000778)
Source: RNAcentral